AUACAACUUUCAGCAACGGAUCUCUUGGCUCUCGCAUCGAUGAAGAACGCAGCGAAAUGCGAUAAGUAAUGUGAAUUGCAGAAUUCAGUGAAUCAUCGAAUCUUUGAACGCACCUUGCGCUCCUUGGUAUUCCGAGGAGCAUGCCUGUUUGAGCG
RNAcentral lists this ribosomal RNA (155 nucleotides) under Ganoderma ryvardenii. RNAcentral's name for it is "5.8S ribosomal RNA". It matches the Rfam family "5.8S ribosomal RNA". From Rfam's summary of the family: 5.8S ribosomal RNA (5.8S rRNA) is a component of the large subunit of the eukaryotic ribosome. It is transcribed by RNA polymerase I as part of the 45S precursor that also contains 18S and 28S rRNA. The record is from RNAcentral. Lineage: Eukaryota; Fungi; Basidiomycota; Agaricomycetes; Polyporales; Polyporaceae.